RNAcentral lists this ribosomal RNA (439 nucleotides) under uncultured bacterium. Its description in RNAcentral is "partial 16S ribosomal RNA". It matches the Rfam family "Bacterial small subunit ribosomal RNA", at positions 339 to 795 of the family's 1533-position model. The record is from RNAcentral.
CUACGGGCCGCACCAGUGAGGAAUAUUGCACAAUGGGGGAAACCCUGAUGCAGCAACGCCGCGUGGAGGAUGACGCAUUUCGGUGUGUAAACUCCUUUUAUCAGAGAAGAAAAUGACGGUAUCUGAUGAAUAAGCUCCGGCUAACUCCGUGCCAGCAGCCGCGGUAAUACGGAGGGAGCAAGCGUUAUUCGGAAUCACUGGGCGUAAAGGACGCGUAGGCGGGUUUUUAAGUCAGGUGUGAAAUCCUAUGGCUCAACCAUAGAACUGCACUUGAGACUGGGGACCUAGAGUAUGGAAGGGGCAGGUGGAAUUAGUGGUGUAGGGGUAAAAUCCGUAGAUAUCACUAGGAAUACCGAAAGCGAAGGCGACCUGCUGGGACAUUACUGACGCUGAGGCGUGAAAGCGUGGGGAGCAAACAGGAUUAGAUACCCCAGUAGUC